Molecule: ribosomal RNA, 472 nt
Filed under: uncultured bacterium
Lineage: Bacteria
Description: SSU rRNA
Rfam family: Bacterial small subunit ribosomal RNA
Source: RNAcentral
AGGACGAACGCUGGCGGCGUGCUUAACACAUGCAAGUCGAGCGGAAAGGCCCUUCGGGGUACUCGAGCGGCGAACGGGUGAGUAACACGUGAGUAAUCUGCCCCUAGCUCUGGGAUAGCUCCGGGAAACCGGGAUUAAUACCGGAUACGACCACCUUAGACAUCUUUUGUGGUGGAAAGAAUUUCGGCUAGGGAUGAGCUCGCGGCCUAUCAGCUUGUUGGUGGGGUAACGGCCUACCAAGGCGACGACGGGUAGCCGGCCUGAGAGGGCGACCGGCCACGACUGGGACUGAGACACGGCCCAGACUCCUACGGGAGGCAGCAGUGGGAAUAUUGCGCAAUGGGAGAAAGCCUGACGCAGCGACGCCGCGUGGGGAUGAAGGCCUUCGGGUUGUAAACCCCUUUCAGCAGGGACGAAGCGAAAGUGACGGUACCUGCAGAAGAAGCGCGGCUAACUACGUGCCAGCAGCCGC